Molecule: non-coding RNA, 701 nt
Organism: Dicentrarchus labrax (European seabass)
Lineage: Eukaryota; Metazoa; Chordata; Actinopteri; Moronidae
Source: the annotation of a RefSeq genome assembly
CCAUCUGAUUGAACUGCAGUAAAUGAUGGACUGUUUGUUGAUUUGUAAUCAUAUAAGACAGGGCUGUGAAUGAGGCCUGUCAGUGUGAUCAGGCUCCUCCUUCUAAUCCACCAACUUAGUGUUGAUGAAGACUAAACAGAGAGAUCACAGCCUUCUUUCUACUUGCUGUAGCUCACAGUUACUCAACACUGCAGAUAUGACGCAGCCUCUGUUCAUCUCAGUGUUGCUGGCUGCUCUGUGCCUUGAAUGCAGAGCACAAAGAGACAACGUGCUGCAACCAAAAGGAGAUGUGACUGCGACUGAAGGAGAGGAAGUAACACUUGACUGUCAAUAUAACAGCAGUUCAUCAAAUGAUUAUCUCUUCUGGUACAAACAGGAUGGAAACAACAGCCCCAAAUUCAUACUGAGCCGUUUCAAGGUUGGCACAGGGAAAACUGAGGACACGUUUAAGGAGGAAUUUUCAUCCACCCUUGAUUCAACCAUGGGCCAGUGCUGUAGAUGCAGACAUGAAACACUGGCUGAGAAACAUCCUGAUUCUGACUCUCUGGCUAGAGUGUAAAGGAGAAGACAGAGUGACCCAGCCACCAGGAGAUGUCAUUGCUACUGAAGGAGAGACAGUUACACUUGGAUGUACAUUUGGGUCCACUGCAACAUAUUCCUAUUUGUUCUGGUACAAACAAGAACUAAAUAAUGUCCCCAAG